AUGCAGGGCCACGCUGACAGCGAGAGCGGCCUCGCCACCGCGCCUUCCAGCCCCACACGCUACCUCUGCUCCGGGCGAGACGGUGAGUGUGACGAAGACGGCGGAGGCAUCCAUUACUUCUUCAGCGCCCCGGCCAGCCCCGUGCACUACAUCCUCCGUUCGCCGCCAGCGUCCUCCGCGUCGGUCCACUACGCUCCCUCCACGGAUGGAGACUUCUGCACGGCCCCCGGCGACUUCGAGUUCGCCGCGCGCCACCGCGGUAUCGACGGCGCCGGCGCCACCACCACCAUGAGCUCCGCCGAGGAGCUGUUCCUAUCCGGCCGCAUCCGCGUAGGUGGCCUCUCCCCCAUCCGCCAAGAAACGGAUUGCAGGGAGCAGCAGGGGGAGGACGGUGAAGACGAGGGCGGCGUCGAAGGCCGCUCGCCGCGGCCUCGCCGGACCAGGUCGGCUUCGCCGCCCCGGAGCCCGCGGCUCGCCAAGACUGCAGAGCCUGCCGACUUCUUGGCAUCAGCGUCGUCGUCAUCCUCCUCCUCCUCUUCCUCUGCCAAGACCAUGCGGCGGAGGAUAUCGCUGCGGGACCUCCUCGGCCGCACCUGCAGCGAUCCCUCGAUGAGGCCGCCGGCCCCUAUUACCACCGCCGCCGAGAGGUCAGGAUCCUGGCUGCCAUCUAUCUGGCCGGCGCGGGCCAAGAAAGCUCUGCCCUCCCCGGCGCCGCAGCCUGCUCGCCGGUCAGUUUCGUCGGUCAGGGCAGCACCGGGCGGCGCGGGGCGCGAUGAGGCGCCGCGGCGGCGCACAACGUCUCUGCCGUACCGGCAAGGCCUGGUUCUUGGAUGCCUCGGCCUAGGAGCCCGGAGCUACGGGCUCGCAAAGUCCAUGCACCCCCUCUCCACGCGGUGA
This 897-nucleotide ribosomal RNA is filed under the name Triticum aestivum (bread wheat). RNAcentral describes it as "partial small subunit ribosomal RNA". Lineage: Eukaryota; Viridiplantae; Streptophyta; Magnoliopsida; Poales; Poaceae. The record is from RNAcentral.